Molecule: long non-coding RNA, 968 nt
Organism: Brachypodium distachyon (stiff brome)
Lineage: Eukaryota; Viridiplantae; Streptophyta; Magnoliopsida; Poales; Poaceae
Exons: 2
Source: RefSeq, a predicted model, not a curated record
ACAACCGCGCGUUAUCCCCACGCGUGAUCACUGCCGUGAUUAACUCCAUCUCUCCCGAUGAUUUUCAAUCCCGCAAUUAUCUCCAGCAACCAACAUUGCCUUCUCCCUCAACGAGAGCCCCUGCCUUCUCCCUCAACACCUCCUCUCCCUUGUUCUCUUCUCUGCACAUCGAAGCAAAACCUAAGCAGGAGAGCAAUUCACUCAGGCUCGCAUGCCUAACCUCCCGGACUUCGCGGCGGCCAGGCAGCCGGCGGCAUGCUCCGCGCGGAGGAGGGGGAGGGUCGUCGCGGCGGCGGUCCGGGGUCGCGUGAAGCAGGAGGAAGCGGGGAAGGGGAAGGUGCGGUUGAUCAGGGUCGCUGACCCCGAUGGGGGAGGGGAGGCUGCCGCCGCUCUUCUACGCGGACGAGGAGGAGAGGCUAUAGAAUUUCCGUACCUUUACUCCCCUUGAUUUCAGAAUGCUGCUGGAAGGAAAGGAGCAGAGGUUCUACAGGCACAAGGCAAGAAAAAAAAAUAUUACUACAUUGUUUGUCGUAGAGUGUCUUGCCUAGCUAUGUUCCUGUGUUCAUGAUGUUCUUAAAGCUCAUAUAACUUUUAUGGCUUUGAACUACAGCCAUUUGAACGAAACCUAUGCAAGUCUAACCGAUUCAUUCUGUCCCUGAUGAGUUCUCGUAUAUUUGUCACUGAUAUUGAUAACUGGUGAAGGUUUGUAUUAGAUGACGAGUGAUCUGACGUGAAGGAACAGAAAGGCCAAAAGGUAUACUAAAUCAAUUGUUUGUAUGAUUCGUUUCUCUUCUUCCCACCAGGUCCCAGCAUAUGUUUGCUAUUUUCAGAAAUAAAUAAAUACUUUGAGCGAUCUUUGUAAAACCGUUGUCUUGCUCCUGACUGUUCUAUAGACAACACAAAUGUUAACUUCAAGGUACUCCCCGUAGAGUUCAUACUUCAAGGUGUAAAUAAUUUCAUUUGUCACA